UCACUCCUACGGGAGGCAGCAGUGAGGAAUAUUGGUCAAUGGGCGGAAGCCUGAACCAGCCAAGUCGCGUGAGGGAAGAAGGCCCUGCGGGUCGCAGACCUCUUUUGACGGGGAGCAAGGCCGCCGACGUGUCGGCGGAAGGAGAGUACCCGUAGAACAAGCAUCGGCUAACUCCGUGCCAGCAGCCGCGGUAAUACGGAGGAUGCGAGCGUUAUCCGGAUUUAUUGGGUUUAAAGGGUGCGCAGGCGGCGCGGCAAGCCGGGGGUCAAAUCGUGGGGCUCAACCCCAUCCAGCCGUUGAAACUGGGGAUCUAGAGUGUGCGAGAGGUAUGCGGAAUGCGUGGUGUAGCGGUGAAAUGCAUAGAUAUCACGCAGAACCCCGAUUGCGAAGGCAGCAUACCGGUGCACAACUGACGCUCAGGCACGAAAGCGUGGGUAUCGAACAGGAUUAGAUACCCUCGUAGU
RNAcentral lists this ribosomal RNA (464 nucleotides) under uncultured bacterium. Its description in RNAcentral is "partial 16S ribosomal RNA". It matches the Rfam family "Bacterial small subunit ribosomal RNA", at positions 333 to 794 of the family's 1533-position model. The record is from RNAcentral.